UCGCUAAGUCCUGCCACGAGUGGCGUUCCCGACGAAAGGAGGGAUUGUGGCGCCGUGGAGGGUGACAGUCCCGUGUGGACGCGUGCGAUUGCUGUGUGAGGGUAAGGCCUUUCUCCCUGUGAGUCGCGUUGCUUGCACAUGCAGCGCUAAGCAGGUCGUAAACUCGAUCUAAGGCUAAAUACAUCCACAGAACCGAUAGUGAACAAGUACCGUAAGGGAAAGUUGAAAAGAACUCUGGAGAGAGAGUCAAAAGACCGUGAAACCGCUCAGAGUAUAAGCCGAUGGCGCUAGAAGGCAACCGGUGGCACGGCGGCCCUGGUUUCGACUGGGGUCGCCCGAAAUGCCUGAGAAUUGGGUAGUUGGAGGAGUAGCAUUGGGUUGCUCAUAUCCAUCAGGCGAGCUUGUUCAUGGGCGAACACAAGUGGUGUCGUUCUGCUGGCUGGCUCGUUGCUGGACGAUUCUAUCGAGGCAUCACACGGUUAUUGCCCACCACAGCUCGUUGCUUGGUCACCCGCUGGCUCUAGGUGUGCAGAGGCUUCAUCCAGGGUCCGGGCGAUUUACGAGGCGCGUGGAUGGGCGUGUUGUCAUGUCUGCCGUGGCUUGUGCGGACACACACACGCUCGCGCCGUGCUCGCGCCACCCUGGCUCUGACUGCCGACUUAGAGGUGGUGUGAUCCAAUCGGCGACGAUGCUGCAAUUGGCCAGAGAUAUGCAGCCCUCAGCUUCGUCACCAUGUGCCGGUGGCGGAGCACCCGCGGGCAGGCUGCAUGCGUCACAUGCGAAGUAAACGCUCAGCCUAGGGGCUGGUCUGAUUGGUGAUGCUCUAGCGACCAUCGGUCACGUCUCGAAACACGGGCCAAGGAGUAUAGCAUGUGUGCAAGUUUAAGGGUCUCACAAAACCCGAGGGCGAAGUGAAAGCAAA
This 922-nucleotide ribosomal RNA is filed under the name Nipponorchestia curvatus. RNAcentral describes it as "partial 28S ribosomal RNA". It matches the Rfam family "Eukaryotic large subunit ribosomal RNA", at positions 161 to 729 of the family's 3401-position model. Lineage: Eukaryota; Metazoa; Arthropoda; Malacostraca; Amphipoda; Talitridae. The record is from RNAcentral.